GACGAACGCUGGCGGCGUGCUUAACACAUGCAAGUCGAACGAUAUAGUGGCGAACGGGUGAGUAACACGUAAGCAACCUACCCUCAAGACCGGGACAACUAGCCGAAAGGUUAGCUAAUACCGGAUGUGGCUGCGGAAAGACAUCUUUCUGCAAUUAAACCCAGCAAUGGGCUUAAGGAUGGGCUUGCGUACUAUCAGCUAGUUGGUGAGGUAACGGCUCACCAAGGCAAUGACGGUUAGCUGGUCUGAGAGGACGACCAGUCACAAGGGAACUGAGACACGGUCCCUACUCCUACGGGAGGCAGCAGUGAGGAAUUUUCCGCAAUGGGCGAAAGCCUGACGGAGCGACGCCGUGUGUGGGACGAAAUCCUUCGGGAUGUAAACCACUGUCAGAUGGGAAGAUAUUGACGUACCAUCAGAGAAGGCCCGCUAACUA
Molecule: ribosomal RNA, 436 nt
Filed under: uncultured bacterium
Lineage: Bacteria
Description: bacterial SSU rRNA
Rfam family: Bacterial small subunit ribosomal RNA
Source: RNAcentral